Molecule: RNA transcript, 4677 nt
Organism: Pomacea canaliculata
Lineage: Eukaryota; Metazoa; Mollusca; Gastropoda; Architaenioglossa; Ampullariidae
Exons: 6
Source: RefSeq, a predicted model, not a curated record
AAGGGCAGGAUGUGGAGCUACAAGCAGUAGACGGCUUUUCUUGUUUGUCUCCUACAACAAAACAAGUAGGAGUGAAAGGACGGAUACAGAUACAGUCUAGGAAAAUGCAUGGAUUUUUAUGAUAAAUUUGGUUCAAAUGGCAAGGAAAUGCGGCACGCAAAAUAAUUACUUGUCCAGUGUUUAGGGCGAGAAGCUGUCAGAGCGAGAUACAGAAGAGCAUGUUUGCAGCAGUAGGAGAGAAUGUUCUCAACAGUAGGAGAGCAUGUUUGUAGUAGUAGGAGAGCAUGUGAAGAAACUGUGAUCAUAGAAAGAAAAUAAGGUUUGACCUUGCAGCAGUUUGAUGAUUUUUUUGCCGCUGUAGCUACAACUACUUUUAAUACAUAGUUUUUGUUCAUAAAACUCUAUCUGACAGCAAAGGGCCACAGUGGUUAUCUGUACAGGUACCUCACCUGUUGUCCUAUUUUUCUCACGGCUAGAUAGUUCAUUCAUGUUUUUCUGAGCUAGGACACGCGGAGUUGUUGGCAGCAGCAAAGUGUGUUUGGAGAGUUAGAGUUGUAGAUUAAAAAAGAAAGCAAAAACCAAUUAUCGAAAUCCAGUUUUUUUAUGAUCGACGCACAAGUCUUAGGUGUGCAUUUUAAACGGACGAGGAAGCUACUUUUGUUUCGUAGUAAAUCUACUACAGUCAUUUGUUCAUGGAUGCUUUUUGAGGAGGUUUCUUUUCUGAAUACGAAGCACCAUGGGGAUGAGUGGAAACAGGAUGAACGGUGUGAAGAUGAUCAGGUUAUUGUCACACGAGGCGGAGGAUAUAGAUGACAUCCCAGAUGAGCUCCGCAACGAUGACUUGCUGACCAUUGCUCCUGAAAGAAAAACUAAUCAGCCGACUUCAAUGCAUAGGGCGCUGACUGAGAGCCGAAUUCAGGGUACACGGAGCAUGAAACACCUUCUGAACAACCACGAGCUCCUCAGAGUCAGGAGGCAUCUUCUCAACAUAGAAGGCAGAAGGAAUAGUUUCCUCUUCAACAACUGGAUGGGGCCUUCAGUUAUUCUGAUGGCUGACGCGGGCUUUCAUUAUAGCAGACACCAGGUUGCCACCUGUUCAUUUUGUGACGUGUCCAUCCGAGACUGGAAGCCUGACCACAGUCCCUGGGUCCGCCACAAGACCUUCUCACCUUUAUGUGCAUACUUACGAUGCAAGGGAGAGAGUGGGAUUCACCCCUCGGCUUCUGGCAAAAGGACCAGGCAUGACUCAUAUUCCUCGUUUGAGGAGAUAAAGGCUGGAUGUGCAUACGACUAAGUCCCGGAUGUCGAGAGAACAGGGUGACGACAUCCAUUCACUGCCGCACGUGACAAUCACGUAGGUCACGUGCCAUAUUUUCUCAGAGGCCUUCUUCACAAGUAAAGGUUUUGAGUGCAUCUCUCUUUGUGAAGAUUGAAAUAUUACAGAAUUCCAUCCAUGAUCAUCUUUACUGGCGAGAUAUAACUGUCAGUGUGGCAUAAAUAUCAGACAUGUUCCAGUGUCAGGGCUUCCCACAGCUUCCAAAAGGUUCAUUUGAUGGAAGAAAGGAUUGUAGCCGGGAAGGAGGAAGAAAAAGCAUGAGAAAUUUAAGAAUCUCUUUAUUUACUGGUCAGGUGUCUCAAGAACAUUAUUGUUUGAGUUUGUUAUGUUGAAGCAAAUAUAUUGGACAGCAGAUGAAUUCUGGAAUUAUUUUUUAACAUUAGCGCAAUCUAGUAAAGUUUAAAAGUAUGAGAAUGUGUGAGUAGCUAUGAUUUUUUAUUUUAGUUAAUGGAGGGACUACUUAUUGUAAAUAAGAAAAAAACCACCUUAUAAAGAGAGUAAUAAUAAAACAAUUUUUUAAAAAUUAUUUCACGUUUGAAAUCCGGCUUUUCGUUUCCAAAGAAUAAAGUCAUUCAGGUUAUUUCUAGUCCAUAAUUGUAUUUAUCCAGAGGAGACCAUUUCGAAGCUCCUGACUUACGCGUUUAUCUUUUUGUUUCUUUAUCUUCCUUAUAACUUUACUUUAUUUAUUUAAUUCAGUUGUUCUUAUUUAUUAAUUAAAUGUACAGCUUACAAUCAUAUAAACUGCAUAAUAAUGUUCUCUCCUUUUUUGUUCUUGAAAAGAGUAGUUUCAAUAAAUGUUUACUUGUCACAAAUUUUAAAGUAGACCAUUCUUUAGUCAUACCUUUGAACAGCACUUAAAUGUAUUUUCUAGGUCACUCAUUAGAACCAUGUGUUUGUGUGUGUGAAGUAUAUAGAAGUAUAUUUAAUCAUUCGUUUUGACUGAUUUGUACACCUGAUGUUUUGCUGAACAACUUACCCUUAUAGAUAUUUUUAUACACCGGUAGGUCAUAGGUAAGGUCAAUUGACGGCCUCGGCACAUUCAAUGCCAUUCCAGAAGUUUCUUAGGACUGUUGAUAUGGAACAGACUUAAAUACUCGAAAUUCAAUACCUCUUAAAGUCUCAGGUAAGCAUCUGCUUUUGCCAAUUAGGCAAUAAUGUUUGAAACUAAAGAUAAACUGGAAAGUUUAUGUUUGUUUUGGCUCAUCUUAUCUGAAAUAGCAUGUUCAAAAAGAAGACAGCUAUAAAAAUAUUCAAAAGCUUUAAAAAUGGAUUUUAAAAAUGUUAUGCAUAGAUUGCACAUUAUUUGUAAAAAUAUUCUGCUGUUGAUUUUAUGUCGUAUCUCACUCACAAUGCUUGUAGUAAUUGUCACAGAUUAUGCAAUUGUUUCUUGCUCACCAUGCUUUGUUUUAUAUCUGAACAGGGUUUGUACCAUCAUAAAAUUUAAGUAUAGAAAAAUAAAAUUUAGGAAUAGAUUAUCAUAAUUUAAGGUCGGAUGCUUCAUUCUUCACCAGUUAAAGCUUUUGGUGAGGUUGGGGGCUAUUUAUAUUUUUUAUCACACUUUUAAAAGAAAAAAAAAACUUCCCGCUUUACAGAUUGUAACGGAAGAACACUUCACCAGUCUGGUGAAAACUCGACUGCCGUUAAAUAAUUAUCUAUCCGCGUUUCUGGAAAAAUCUCCAGGAUUAAUAGAAAAGAUGGUCAUAGAAAGUAUACGGGCCAUGAUAGGCUUAGAGACAUCAAGGUAUGUGUCAUUAACAGACAUUCCCAUCGGCUAGUGCCUUGACAACACAAACUCAUCCUUGCAUUACCCUGAGGAAGUAUCACUUACAUUUGAGAAAAUAAUAUCUUGCAAAGAGUUUGUCUCAAUCAUAUCUUUUGUGUUUUGAAGUACAACACUGUUCGCUUGCUUUAUAUAUGUGGAUAUUUUUUGUAAUACAUUUUUAAACUUGUUCUUAAUAAAAUAAUAUGAUGUUUGUUUUUCUUUGUAAUCAGUGAUUUUGUUAGUUCUAUACUAACAUUUUUAGCUUUAUCACUUGGAAUAUUUCUAAUAUUAUUUAAAUCGAGACGACCACUUCUACAUGACAUUUAAAAUGUCAUUUUACUUCCCUAAACUGAUAUCGAAAAAGAAAUUUUUAGUAAACAUAAUUUUCUUUAACUUUGCUUUUAAUAUUUUAAUGCUCAGUGUAUGUGAUUAAUAUUGCAAGAAGAAAAAACAUCUGUAAGGUGAAUGUGAUCUUGUUGACAAUGGACAAAUGAAUGCAGUCGUUUCUAAGAAAUUGAUGUGGACUUCUUAUUGACUGAAUUCAAUGGUCUAGACAUGUCUUGGCACGAAUUGCCGCUGUACGUAAUCCCUUAGUAAUAUCGGGAAUUCACGAGCAAAACUUGUGACUGCCACACGAAUGAUGACAAGAAGUGCAACUAUAUAAACCUUGUGCUGCCUUUGCUCUGGUUCGCGCGUUCGACUUCUGACUGCACUGCAUAAACAGUUAAGGAUCCUUGAGGCAGCAGUUGGUGGUUCUAGCUAAGGAGUCGAAAAUGUUGGAGAAGAGGCUGCUUGACGUCACACCCCGGUAUGGCGCGCCUCGCCGACAGCCCUGCGUCAUGUGCAAGAGGCAGCCCUCGACUGUUGUAUUCCUGCCUUGUGCGCACAAAGUCACGUGUCGUGCCUGCAGUGACGUCAUCAGAAAGUGCGUCAUCUGCAAGAGGUUAAUCAUGGGACUGUGCCACACGUAAAUCCCUAGCAACUGAACAAGAUGAAACAUUUACAGGGAGGUCGUCACAAGUAUUGCUACUUCAACGUUUUCUGAACUUUCUCAUAUUUCUUGUUGACUACUCUGCCCAAUGUCCAGAAGAUAAACAAUUCAAUUAAAUAGGACACCAUGCAAUAAAAUAUGUUUGAAAUCAAGUAGGUGUCCAAAGGAUUAGAACUGUUCUUAAAAAUGUGGAUGAAGUGCUCAUGCAUUUGAGAUCACGAGGUCUCUCUUCUCCAUCAUCUUAAACAUCCGAUAUGCCCAUCAGCAGUAGGAGUGGCCUCCAGCCAGCAGCUGUAGUCCAGCCUCACAGGGACAUCGUGCCUGCGCUGUGUGCUGAUGUGGUUCUCUUCUGUGAAUCAGCUCACAACAAAGAAACAUUUCUAUCUCUGGUCUAAACAGAAGUAGAUAAUCAAGAUGCUUUGCUUUGUAUUGCACAAGGAUAUUCCAGAAUAAUUUGAAUUUGAAUUCAGUAUAUUUCGCUAACCAUACUUCGAUUGUGAAAUGAAAUCUUCAAACAAAACUCCAUAAUGGUCAAAAUAAGAAAUAAAGGUUUUAUGAAAAAGUCAUUGAAAUAUACUCAGGGAAAAA